AGAGUUUGAUCAUGGCUCAGAGCGAACGCUGGCGGCAGGCCUAACACAUGCAAGUCGAGCGGCCGUAGCAAUACGGCAGCGGCAGACGGGAGAGUAACACGUGGGAACGUGCCCUUUGGUUCGGAACAACACAGGGAAACUUGUGCUAAUACCGGAUACGCCCUUACGGGGAAAGAUUUAUCGCCGAAAGAUCGGCCCGCGUCUGAUUAGCUAGUUGGUGUGGUAACGGCGCACCAAGGCGACGAUCAGUAGCUGGUCUGAGAGGAUGAUCAGCCACAUUGGGACUGAGACACGGCCCAAACUCCUACGGGAGGCAGCAGUGGGGAAUAUUGGACAAUGGGCGCAAGCCUGAUCCAGCCAUGCCGCGUGAGUGAUGAAGGCCCUAGGGUUGUAAAGCUCUUUUGUGCGGGAAGAUAAUGACGGUACCGCAAGAAUAAGCCCCGGCUAACUUCGUGCCAGCAGCCGCGGUAAUACGAAGGGGGCUAGCGUUGCUCGGAAUCACUGGGCGUAAAGGGUGCGUAGGCGGGUCUUUAAGUCAGGGGUGAAAUCCUGGAGCUCAACUCCAGAACUGCCUUUGAUACUGAGGAUCUUGAGUUCGGGAGAGGUGAGUGGAACUGCGAGUGUAGAGGUGAAAUUCGCAGAUAUUCGCAAGAACACCAGUGGCGAAGGNNGGCUCACUGGCCCGAUACUGACGCUGAGGCACGAAAGCGUGGGGAGCAAACAGGAUUAGAUACCCUAGUAGUCC
This 745-nucleotide ribosomal RNA is filed under the name uncultured bacterium. RNAcentral describes it as "bacterial SSU rRNA". It matches the Rfam family "Bacterial small subunit ribosomal RNA", at positions 8 to 796 of the family's 1533-position model. The record is from RNAcentral.